UUAGCAAUUGCUAAAUCAGCGAAGAGACUUGAUUGCUAAUUACCGGAAGUCUGUGGAAGAGCUUGUUAAAUCUGAGCCAUAAGUUCCAGUCAAUCAAAUGUGGCUCUCUAUCAUCAAUAUCUGGAUAUUACGGUUCUGAAGGGAAAAAUCAGAAGUUUUGACAAAUAGGUUGCAGGAAAUGU
Neltuma alba is the source of this 182-nucleotide long non-coding RNA. RefSeq lists it as uncharacterized. The transcript is spliced from 3 exons. The record is from RefSeq and is a predicted model, not a curated record. NCBI's taxonomy places the organism in Eukaryota, Viridiplantae, Streptophyta, Magnoliopsida, Fabales, Fabaceae.